This 253-nucleotide ribosomal RNA is filed under the name uncultured bacterium. RNAcentral describes it as "partial 16S ribosomal RNA". It matches the Rfam family "Bacterial small subunit ribosomal RNA", at positions 524 to 776 of the family's 1533-position model. The record is from RNAcentral.
UACGGAGGGAGCUAGCGUUAUUCGGAAUUACUGGGCGUAAAGCGCACGUAGGCGGCUUUGUAAGUUAGAGGUGAAAGCCUGGAGCUCAACUCCAGAAUUGCCUUUAAGACUGCAUCGCUUGAAUCCAGGAGAGGUGAGUGGAAUUCCGAGUGUAGAGGUGAAAUUCGUAGAUAUUCGGAAGAACACCAGUGGCGAAGGCGGCUCACUGGACUGGUAUUGACGCUGAGGUGCGAAAGCUAGGGGAGCGAACGGG